RNAcentral lists this ribosomal RNA (495 nucleotides) under uncultured bacterium. Its description in RNAcentral is "partial 16S ribosomal RNA". It matches the Rfam family "Bacterial small subunit ribosomal RNA", at positions 28 to 507 of the family's 1533-position model. The record is from RNAcentral.
GACGAACGCUGGCGGCGUGCCUAAUACAUGCAAGUAGAACGCUGAAGGAGGAGCUUGCUCUUCUGGAUGAGUUGCGAACGGGUGAGUAACGCGUAUGUAACCUGCCUCUUAGCGGGGGAUAACUAUUGGGAACGAUAGCUAAUACCGCAUAACAGUAGAUGUUGCAUGACAUUUGCUUAAAAGGUGCAAUUUCACCACUACCAGAUGGACCUGCCGUGGUUUAGGUAGUUGGUGGGGUAACGGCUCACCAAGGCGACGAAACAUCGCCGACCUGGUAGGGGGGUUGGCCACACUGGGAAGUGGACACGGCCCAGACCCCUACGGGAGGCAGGAGGAGGGAAAUUUCGGCAAUGGACGGAAGUCUGAACGAGCAAAGCCGGGGGAGUGGAGAAGGGUCUCGGAUCGUAAAGAUCCGUUGUAAGGGAAGAACGAGUGUGAGAGUGGAAAGUUCACACUGUGACGGUAUCUUACCAGAAAGGGACGGCUAACUACGUG